AUUGAACGCUGGCGGCAUGCCUUACACAUGCAAGUCGAACGGCAGCGGACCUUCGGGUGCCGGCGAGUGGCGAACGGGUGAGUAAUAUAUCGGAACGUACCUUUCAGUGGGGGAUAACGUAGCGAAAGUUACGCUAAUACCGCAUAUUCUGUGAGCAGGAAAGCAGGGGAUCGCAAGACCUUGCGCUGAUUGAGCGGCCGAUAUCAGAUUAGCUAGUUGGUGAGGUAAAGGCUCACCAAGGCGACGAUCUGUAGCGGGUCUGAGAGGAUGAUCCGCCACACUGGAACUGAGACACGGUCCAGACUCCUACGGGAGGCAGCAGUGGGGAAUUUUGGACAAUGGGGGCAACCCUGAUCCAGCCAUGCCGCGUGAGUGAAGAAGGCCUCGGUGUAAG
This 394-nucleotide ribosomal RNA is filed under the name uncultured bacterium. RNAcentral describes it as "bacterial SSU rRNA". It matches the Rfam family "Bacterial small subunit ribosomal RNA", at positions 30 to 429 of the family's 1533-position model. The record is from RNAcentral.